CGGUGAGGUGACUUGUCUGGUUAAUUCCGAUAACGGACGAGACCUCGACCUACUAACUAGCUACUCUUUACUUAUAGUAAGGAGCCAGCUUCUUAGAGGGACUUUGGGAGUUUAUCUCAAGGAAGUUCGAGCCUAUAACA
This 140-nucleotide ribosomal RNA is filed under the name uncultured eukaryote. Its description in RNAcentral is "partial 18S ribosomal RNA". It matches the Rfam family "Eukaryotic small subunit ribosomal RNA", at positions 1299 to 1458 of the family's 1831-position model. The record is from RNAcentral.